ACUGCUGUUGCUCCAUGGUAGGGCGCUUGGCUAACAGCCAGGAAGUUGCAGGUUCGACUCCUGUCAGCACUC
RNAcentral lists this transfer RNA (72 nucleotides) under Ancylobacter aquaticus. RNAcentral describes it as "tRNA-Val". It matches the Rfam family "tRNA". Rfam says of the family: Transfer RNA (tRNA) molecules are approximately 80 nucleotides in length. Their secondary structure includes four short double-helical elements and three loops (D, anti-codon, and T loops). Lineage: Bacteria; Pseudomonadati; Pseudomonadota; Alphaproteobacteria; Hyphomicrobiales; Xanthobacteraceae. The record is from RNAcentral.